Molecule: long non-coding RNA, 311 nt
Organism: Pieris napi
Lineage: Eukaryota; Metazoa; Arthropoda; Insecta; Lepidoptera; Pieridae
Exons: 2
Source: RefSeq, a predicted model, not a curated record
UCAUGAUCAUGAGUUUUGUAUUGGGCUGAGUGAAUAUUUGAAAAAGGAUCAGCCAAUAAUCAAAUAAAUGUAUUCUUUUGGAUGUUGUAGUAACAAACUUGCAAGGGAAUCAAAUUAAAUAUGGCACCACUGCUAAGAUCAUCAUUAUCAUCUAAAAGGAAAGAACCAUUUUUUAAAUCGGUUUGGCCUAUAAGAAAAAAAUCGAUGAACAAAAUGUCCCGAUAAAAAGGUCCAUAUGUCUACUCGUUAAGUGUGAUAUUACAUUACCUCAGACAAACAUCGCAGAUUUGUUUCUUCUGUGUAUAAUUGUA